UAGCUCAGCCUGGUGGAGCGCUGCCCUGGUAAGGCAGAGGUCCCGGGUUCGAAUCCCG
This 58-nucleotide transfer RNA is filed under the name Desulfurococcaceae archaeon. RNAcentral's name for it is "tRNA-Thr". It matches the Rfam family "tRNA", at positions 8 to 62 of the family's 71-position model. From Rfam's summary of the family: Transfer RNA (tRNA) molecules are approximately 80 nucleotides in length. Their secondary structure includes four short double-helical elements and three loops (D, anti-codon, and T loops). Lineage: Archaea; Thermoproteati; Thermoproteota; Thermoprotei; Desulfurococcales; Desulfurococcaceae. The record is from RNAcentral.